Molecule: ribosomal RNA, 35 nt
Filed under: Spumella-like flagellate JBNZ41
Lineage: Eukaryota; Chrysophyceae
Description: partial 18S ribosomal RNA
Source: RNAcentral
UAGGUGAACCUGCGGAAGGAUCAUUACCAUACUAC